RNAcentral lists this unclassified non-coding RNA (525 nucleotides) under uncultured Glomeromycotina. RNAcentral's name for it is "SSU rRNA". It matches the Rfam family "Eukaryotic small subunit ribosomal RNA", at positions 571 to 1092 of the family's 1831-position model. Lineage: Eukaryota; Fungi; Glomeromycota. The record is from RNAcentral.
CAGCCGCGUAAUUCCAGCUCCAAUAGCGUAUAUUAAAGUUGUUGCAGUUAAAAAGCUCGUAGUUGAAUUUCGGGAUUGACACAUCGGUCGUGCCUUAAGGGGUAUGAACUGGUGUAGCCAAUUUCUCACCUUCUGGAGAACCGCGAUGUCCUUAAUUGGGUGCCGCGAGGAACCAGGACCUUUACUUUGAAAAAAUUAGAGUGUUUAAAGCAGGCAUUUUGCUUGAAUACAUUAGCAUGGAAUAAUAAAAUAGGACGGCAUGAUUCUAUUUUGUUGGUUUCUAGGAUCACCGUAAUGAUUAAUAGGGAUAGUUGGGGGCAUUAGUAUUCAAUUGUCAGAGGUGAAAUUCUUGGAUUUAUUGAAGACUAACUACUGCGAAAGCAUUUGCCAAGGAUGUUUUCAUUAAUCAAGAACGAAAGUUAGGGGAUCGAAGACGAUCAGAUACCGUCGUAGUCUUAACCAUAAACUAUGCCGACUAGGAAUCAGACGAUGUUAAUUUUUUAAUGACUCGUUUGGCACCUUACG